UCGUAAAACAGAGGUGCGAGGGCUGUCGCUGACCUUCAAGGGUCGUGCACGCCCAAGUGCUCUCACACAAUCCAUCUCACCCCAUUGUGCAUCACCGCGUGGGUCCCCCUUUGCAGGAGGGUUCGCGUUUUCACAUCAAACUUGAUACAGUGUAGAAUGUUUAUUUUUGCGAUCACACGCAAUCAAUA
RNAcentral lists this unclassified non-coding RNA (188 nucleotides) under uncultured Russula. RNAcentral's name for it is "sequence contains ITS1". Lineage: Eukaryota; Fungi; Basidiomycota; Agaricomycetes; Russulales; Russulaceae. The record is from RNAcentral.